ACUCCUACGGGAGGCAGCAGUGGGGAAUAUUGGACAAUGGGGGGAACCCUGAUCCAGCCAUGCCGCGUGUGUGAAGAAGGCCUUAUGGUUGUAAAGCACUUUAAGCGAGGAGGAGGCUACUAGUAUUAAUACUACUGGAUAGUGGACGUUACUCGCAGAAUAAGCACCGGCUAACUCUGUGCCAGCAGCCGCGGUAAUACAGAGGGUGCAAGCGUUAAUCGGAAUUACUGGGCGUAAAGCGUGCGCAGGCGGUCUGUUAAGCGAGAUGUGAAAGCCCCGGGCUCAACCUGGGAACUGCAUUUCGAACUGGCAGACUAGAGUCUUGUAGAGGGGGGUAGAAUUCCAGGUGUAGCGGUGAAAUGCGUAGAGAUCUGGAGGAAUACCGGUGGCGAAGGCGGCCCCCUGGACAAAGACUGACGCUCAGGCACGAAAGCGUGGGGAGCAAACAGGAUUAGAUACCCUGGUAGCGAGUAG
This 474-nucleotide ribosomal RNA is filed under the name uncultured bacterium. Its description in RNAcentral is "bacterial SSU rRNA". It matches the Rfam family "Bacterial small subunit ribosomal RNA", at positions 335 to 802 of the family's 1533-position model. The record is from RNAcentral.